UUUUUUUUAAAGAAAUUAAAAAGCAAUAACCAAAAUAUUUUUAGCCCAGUCAAGUUAGCUCAAUAAAUAGGGGUAAGCAGUGUUUGAAUCGCGGACUACAAAAUAGCAUAAGCUAAACUUUUUUGCUUUUCAAAGCAAGCUGCUCUUGGCCAUUUUCAAUACAUUUGCAAUUGCUUAGCUACCACUAAGAAAAAUAAAGCAGCGAAAGCAGACAGCCUUUGCUCUUGCUUACAGCGCAGUUUGUUAUUGCUUAGACAGUCAGCCGAAGCAAACAGUUAAGAAAAAGUGCUGUUGCUGAAAGCAGAUCCUUACUGUCUUCACAUGCUUGAAAUUCUCACUUGACAACAUACUUUUUCAUUUGUAAAAUGUCGGCAAAAAAGAAGUUCGUAUUUUUCACCAAAAUAAACGAUUUUGCUACUCUGAAGAAUUCGGCGAAAUGAGUAAAUACCUGUACAACAAAAAUGAUAGUUGAAAGCAUGCGAGAGCUCGCAAACCGCUCGGUAUGCGAGAAAGAGUAGCUUCGUACUUUUUGCGGUCUACACGUGUGGCAUCUCGCAUGCAUCGUCACGCAAGCGAGAUUUUCCAGGUGCAUACGGGUACCUACCCUAAUGGAAGAAAGUGUUUUUUUUAAAUCAACUAGUUCAAAGACUACUUUGAAACAAAUGCACCAAUACAUACAAAA
This is a long non-coding RNA of Rhagoletis zephyria (snowberry fruit fly), 682 nucleotides long. RefSeq lists it as uncharacterized. NCBI's taxonomy places the organism in Eukaryota, Metazoa, Arthropoda, Insecta, Diptera, Tephritidae. The record is from RefSeq and is a predicted model, not a curated record.